CGGUGUUCAACUGGCGUGUCCGCGGGACGUCCUGCCGGUGGGCUUAGCCCGCAAGGGCGGCCCAACUUCAAAUCCCAUCGCGGUGCUCUUCACUGAGUGUCGAGGUGGGCCGGCACGUUUACUUUGGACAAAUUAGAGUGCUUAAAGCAGGCUAAAACUUCGCCUGAAUACUGUGUGCAUGGAAUAAUGGAAUAGGACCUCGGUUCUAUUUUGUUGGUUUUCGGAACCCCGAGGUAAUGAUUAAUAGGAACGGAUGGGGGCAUUCGUAUUGCGACGUUAGAGGUGAAAUUCUUGGAUCGUCGCAAGACGGACAGAAGCGAAAGCAUUUGCCAAAAACGCUUUCAUUGAUCAAGAACGAAAGUUAGAGGUUCGAAGGCGAUCAGAUACCGCCCUAGUUCUAACCAUAAACGAUGCCAGCUAGCGAUCCGUCGACGUUCCUCCGAUGACUCGACGGGCAGCUUCCGGGAAACCAAAGCUUUUGGGUUCCGGGGGAAGUAUGGUUGCAAAGCUGAAACUUAAAGGAAUUGACGGAAGGGCACCACCAGGAGUGGAGCCUGCGGCUUAAUUUGACUCAACACGGGAAACCUCACCAGGCCCGGACACCGGAAGGAUUGACAGAUUGAGAGCUCUUUCUUGAUUCGGUGGGUGGUGGUGCAUGGCCGUUCUUAGUUGGUGGAGCGAUUUGUCUGGUUAAUUCCGAUAACGAACGAGACUCUAGCCUGCUAACUAGGCGUAUUUUCGACAUCUCAAAGGUCCGUCGUCCCGGCCCUCGGGUCGUGGGCGUGCGCGAUUUUUACUGUCGGCGUACUAUCAAUUCUUCUUAGAGGGACAGGUGGCUUCUAGCCGCACGAGAUUGAGCAAUAACAGGUCUGUGAUG
RNAcentral lists this ribosomal RNA (877 nucleotides) under uncultured eukaryote. Its description in RNAcentral is "SSU rRNA". It matches the Rfam family "Eukaryotic small subunit ribosomal RNA", at positions 636 to 1469 of the family's 1831-position model. The record is from RNAcentral.